Molecule: ribosomal RNA, 172 nt
Filed under: Macruronus novaezelandiae (blue grenadier)
Lineage: Eukaryota; Metazoa; Chordata; Actinopteri; Gadiformes; Merlucciidae
Description: partial 12S rRNA
Source: RNAcentral
CACCGCGGUUAGACGAGAGGCUCAAGUUGAUGGCCUGCGGCGUAAAGAGUGGUUAAGAAAAUGAAAAAAUAGGGCCGAAUAACCUCAAGGCUGUUAUAAGCCCAUACGAGACCACGAAGCACAACUACGAAAGUGACCCUAAUAAUAUCUGAUUCCACGAGAGCCAUAUGAA